GCAGGCCAUCAGCAGCCUCCGCCGCCCGCGCCGCCGGAAGCACAGGCGGGGCGCCGGGCCCGGGCGGCCUUGGAUGUGCGCAGGCGCAGGCCAAGCCUGUUGGGGGAAGACAGGGGCGGUCGGAGGUUCUGCGGCCCGCGGCUGCCCUCUCGUGGCACUUGGGCGCUACGGCAUGGGCGCUUCCGCCCAACCCCGGGAGCCCAGCCAAGCGCUGUGUUUUUCCAGGUCCGCGCAGGGCCAGGGGAACCCUGCGUGUUUGUUUGAUGGGAAUGGAUUACUGGAAAGCUAGACGGAAGGUACCCUGUAAACCGGCAGCUCCCAACUCCAUCCCAUUGAUGGAUAUCAUCCAGUGCCACCAGAGGGGCUGUGAGUGCCUGGAUUUUUGGUGGGAGGACAACAACUUCAGGAACAGGAACCAACAAAGGUCUCCCACUUUUGCAGAAGUCAUGCAUUGCGUUAGAGGCUAUUUCCUUUCUCUAGGCUCUGAACAUUUGCCCAGGCUGCAGAUGCUGGGAGUUUGCUCUAUGACCCCACCACACUUGUUCUGCUUAGGGUAUCAAAGCUCUUUGUGACCGAGGUUACCGUAAAGAUUUCCUGUGGAGGGAGACACCAGGGACAGAGCAUGCAUCUGGAAGUCUCACAGCGUGGACUCUGUGUGGUGACACUGCAGUUCCAUGUUCUUCAAGAAAUGUCUAGACUGGAUGACCUCAUUGGAGAUCUUCUGGCACAAAGCCCUUUUCACACAGCAAACUGAGACCCAGAGAGGGGAAGUGACUGGCCCAGGUCACUCAGCAAGUUGGUGGCCGAGCUGGAAUUAGAUCUCAGGUCUCCUGACAUCCGGUUCUGUCAUUAAUUACGCACAGUUGUUGAGGACCUACUAUAUGCCAGGCACUCUGCUGGGCACUGGGAUACAGCUGUGAACAAAAUGAAGAGCCUGCAUACAGCUUAGAUGCUCUGGUGUUUAUGUGGGGAGAUGGCUUCUGGAAUCCAAUCGCUGCUACUGACUUAUUGAUGGACAUCAUCCAGUGACCUGGGGAGGCGGUGGGCAGCCCAGCCACAGCCUGUGAUAAGGAGAGACAACCCAGCAUCCGCCCUGCAGUGAAUAAUAGAACAAAAAGCUGCCGGCGCCUGCAGGAUCAAAGCGCAGGGGUGGUGGUGUCUCUGGGUUAAAUACAUCAGCAGAGGGGGCUGGAGCAG
RNAcentral lists this long non-coding RNA (1197 nucleotides) under Equus caballus (horse). RNAcentral's name for it is "lncRNA (ENSECAG00000045283.1)". Lineage: Eukaryota; Metazoa; Chordata; Mammalia; Perissodactyla; Equidae. The record is from RNAcentral.